AGUGAACGCUGGCGGUAGGCCUAACACAUGCAAGUCGAACGGCAGCACAGUAAGAGCUUGCUCUUACGGGUGGCGAGUGGCGGACGAGUGCGGAAUACAUCGGAAUCUACUUUUUCGUGGGGGAUAACGUAGGGAAACUUACGCUAAUACCGCAUACGACCUACGGGUGAAAGCAUGGGAUCUUCGGACCUUGCGCGAUUGUAUGAGCCGAUGUCGGAUUAGCUAGUUGGCGGGGUAAAGGCCCACCAAGGCGACGAUCCGUAGCUGGUCUGAGAGGAUGAUCAGCCACACUGGAACUGAGACACGGUCCAGACUCCUAUGGGAGGCAGCAGUGGGGAAUAUUGGACAAUGGGCGCAAGCCUGAUCCAGCCAUACCGCGUGGGUGAAGAAGGCCUUCGGGUUGUAAAGCCCUUUUGUUGGGAAAGAAAAGCAGCAGGUUAAUACCCCGCUGUUCUGACGGUACCCAAAGAAUAAGCACCGGCUAACUUCGUG
This 492-nucleotide ribosomal RNA is filed under the name uncultured bacterium. RNAcentral describes it as "partial 16S ribosomal RNA". It matches the Rfam family "Bacterial small subunit ribosomal RNA", at positions 29 to 507 of the family's 1533-position model. The record is from RNAcentral.